UGCAGUCGACGGCAGCGCGGGGCAACCUGGCGGCGAGUGGCGAACGGGUGAGUAAUAUAUCGGAACGUGCCCUGGAGUGGGGGAUAACGCAGCGAAAGUUGCGCUAAUACCGCAUACGAUCUAAGGAUGAAAGCGGGGGAUUCGCAAGAACCUCGUGCUCCUGGAGCGGCCGAUAUCUGAUUAGCUAGUUGGUGGGGUAAAGGCCUACCAAGGCAUCGAUCAGUAGCUGGUCUGAGAGGACGACCAGCCACACUGGAACUGAGACACGGUCCAGACUCCUACGGGAGGCAGCAGUGGGGAAUUUUGGACAAUGGGCGAAAGCCUGAUCCAGCAAUGCCGCGUGAGUGAAGAAGGCCUUCGGGUUGUAAAGCUCUUUUGUCAGGGAAGAAACGGUGAAGGCUAAUAUCCUUUGCUAAUGACGGUACCUGAAGAAUAAGCACCGGCUAACUACGUGCCAGCAGCCGCGGUAAUACGUAGGGUGCAAGCGUUAAUCGGAAUUACUGGGCGUAAAGCGUGCGCAGGCGGUUUUGUAAGUCUGUCGUGAAAUCCCCGGGCUCAACCUGGGAAUUGCGAUGGAGACUGCAAGGCUAGAAUCUGGCAGAGGGGGGUAGAAUUCCACGUGUAGCAGUGAAAUGCGUAGAGAUGUGGAGGAACACCGAUGGCGAAGGCAGCCCCCUGGGUCAAGAUUGACGCUCAUGCACGAAAGCGUGGGGAGCAAACAGGAUUAGAUACCCUGGUAGUCCACGCCCUAAACGAUGUCUACUAGUUGUCGGGUUUUAAUUAACUUGGUAACGCAGCUAACGCGUGAAGUAGACCGCCNGGGGAGUACGGUCGCAAGAUUAAAACUCAAAGGAAUUGACGGGGACCCGCACAAGCGGNGGAUGAUGUGGAUUNNUUCGAUGCNACGCGAAAAANCNUUACCUACCC
RNAcentral lists this ribosomal RNA (927 nucleotides) under uncultured bacterium. Its description in RNAcentral is "bacterial SSU rRNA". It matches the Rfam family "Bacterial small subunit ribosomal RNA", at positions 56 to 980 of the family's 1533-position model. The record is from RNAcentral.